CCUACGAGUGGCAGCAGUGGGGAAUAUUGCGCAAUGGGCGAAAGCCUGACGCAGCGACGCCGCGUGAGGGAUGAAUGUCUUCGGAUCGUAAACCUCUGUCUGCAGGGGAGUACAGUCACUGUGCUAAUCAGCAGUGAAUUGACGGUACCUGCAAAGGAAGCACCGGCUAACUCCGUGCCAGCAGCCGCGGUAAUACGGAGGGUGCGAGCGUUAAUCGGACUUACUGUGCGGAAAGCGCUCGUAGGUGGUAUGUCAAGUCAAGGGUGAAAUCCCCGGGCUCAACGUUGGAACUGCCUUUGAAACUGGCAAACUGGAGUGUGUGAGAGGAUAGUGGAAUUCCAGGUGUAGGAGUGAAAUGCUUAGAUAUCUGGAGGAACAUCAGUGGCGAAGGCGACUCUCUGGCACAUAACUGACGCUGAGGAGCGAAAGCGUGGGUAGCAAACAGGAUUAGAUACCCGAGUAGUC
Molecule: ribosomal RNA, 465 nt
Filed under: uncultured bacterium
Lineage: Bacteria
Description: partial 16S ribosomal RNA
Rfam family: Bacterial small subunit ribosomal RNA
Source: RNAcentral